AGAACUGUCAGAAACAGAUACUCUCAGCAAGCAUCUACCAUCUUUAACUAUAAUGCCUUGCCUAGCACUUGGAAGAUACUCUUCAACAGAGUUAAUGGGCGCCCUGCAAAGUUUGCCCAAGAAGAUAAAUGCUGAUAUUAACAGAUGAGAUGUGUCUUAUGAGAUCACUUCCAGGAAACCUGGUGGCCAUUCUGGAAUCCUGAAAAAUACGCCAUGGCCAUCUGAUCAGGGGUAGUCACAAGAGUCAACAUUAGCCAGGAAUUCUGGUGGUAAGUGUUACCCAGUCUUGGAAGGUGUGCACCAAAGACAGAGGAGCAAUGAAUGGUCAAUCUGACCCUAUAUUUACAAACAUGUUCACCGAGUGCCAUAUGGACAAAACAGUUCCUGGUAAAAAUUUGGACAACAAUUAACAUAAGCACUGCAGGAGAUCCCAACUGUUGACCUCUAAAAAGAACAGGUUUCAGAGUAACAGCCGUGUUAGUCUGUAUUUGCAAAAAGAAAAGGAGUACUUGUGGCACCUUAGAG
Molecule: long non-coding RNA, 525 nt
Organism: Chelonia mydas (Green sea turtle)
Lineage: Eukaryota; Metazoa; Chordata; Testudines; Cheloniidae
Exons: 3
Source: RefSeq, a predicted model, not a curated record